This 253-nucleotide unclassified non-coding RNA is filed under the name uncultured Myxococcales bacterium. RNAcentral's name for it is "contains 16S-23S intergenic spacer region". It matches the Rfam family "Bacterial small subunit ribosomal RNA", at positions 524 to 776 of the family's 1533-position model. Lineage: Bacteria; Pseudomonadati; Myxococcota; Myxococcia; Myxococcales. The record is from RNAcentral.
UACAGAGGGUGCAAGCGUUGUUCGGAAUUACUGGGCGUAAAGCGCGUGUAGGCGGCUUAUCAAGUCCUGUGUGAAAGCCCUGGGCUCAACCCAGGAAGUACGCAGGAUACUGAUGAGCUGGAGUAGCGGAGAGGAUGGCGGAAUACCCGGUGUAGAGGUGAAAUUCGUAGAUAUCGGGUGGAACACCUGUGGCGAAGGCGGCCAUCUGGACGUUCACUGACGCUGAGACGCGAAAGCGUGGGUAGCAAACAGG